RNAcentral lists this long non-coding RNA (5797 nucleotides) under Cricetulus griseus (Chinese hamster). RNAcentral describes it as "lncRNA (ENSCGRG00015041882.1)". The record is from RNAcentral. Lineage: Eukaryota; Metazoa; Chordata; Mammalia; Rodentia; Cricetidae.
CCUUCAAUAGGCUCAAGAUGGGAGAGUCAGCCUUGCUUUAUGAUGGGGACCUUGUGUGUGACCAUGUGGUCACAGUGCCCCCUGCUGGCAGACUCUAUCAGGGCUCUGGGGCUGUUUGUGUGGGAGAAGCCAAGCUGGCCUGCCUGGCUCAAUAACCCACUUACUUUGACAGCCCCUAGAGACCCUGUCUGAGACCUCUUAGGGUGCCAAGAGGGGAGAAUUAGUUUUUAAGUCUAUGGUUUUCUCUUAAGUUUUAUCAGAGUUCUUUUUAUGAAGCAAUAAAUCCAUUUUCCUCUUGGUAAUGGAUGACCCUCCACAUAUCAGUGACCACUCUGCCUAUUUUAAGAUUGAGAGGGGAAGGGAAAUUAAAAUGCCAGACAGAGUGACACAUGCUUUCGUCCCAGCACUUGGAAGGCUGAAGCAGGCAGAGUUUGGGGCCAGCCUGGUCUACAUGGAGAGUUCCAGGGCUACAUAGUGAGACUCUGAUAUUCUGCUGGUGACAAACCCAGUUGCACCUGGGUGCUCUGUCCUGAGUGACACGUCCAGGGAGGGGCAUGGGCAAAGAAAAGCUCUGACUGCCCGGUACUCCAGGAAGGUGGGCUGUUCCCUCUGCUCGGUUCAAAGUAGGUAGGCCAGUCCAGAAGCUUCCAUCUCUGUUUCCUGUCAACUCAUAACCCCAAGGGUUGUUAUGUGGUGAUUCCAGGAGCACUAUAGGCCAAAUAGCUUCAGGAUGGAGUGAGGGCGGGCAUAGGUGAGAGGCCCCCAGGCCAAGUGUAGGCUCUGUAGUAACAGUGAGCUACAUCUUGGCUCCAGUCGGUUUAAACAGUAAAGUCAUUACCCCCAUAACAGCUGCUGGAAGCCUGUCUCUGUGGCUUCUUUUAGUCCAGUGGUGGAGCUCACUCUUUGCAAGGAGAAGGACUUAGGUUCUGUUUCCCAAAAGAACUGGAUCGGCAUUUUCAAAAACACACCUCUCAGAGUGCUGGUUUGUGAUGCCUUGAUGGUCGUUUUCUUUGGGGAAGUGUCUAGUCAAAUAUCGGGUAUGCAGAGUUAGGGUACCCACCACGCUUUGCCCAUGUUUGUAAACAUUGCAGCUGUCUGAGAAGGGGGUGUAGCACCAGGUGUGGUGGCAAGAGGCUCCUCUCUGAGUUUGAGGCCACAUGUUGAGUUCCAGGUUAGUCAGGACUACACAAUGAGACCCUGUUUUGUUUAAAGAAAAUCCACAAGUGUGCUGUCAGAAUGGUAGAGCUAAUGAAAAGUGGCACAGGCCUGUAAUGCCAGCAUCAGGAAGCAAGGAAUGGAAUGUAGUCGCUUCACACACAAGGGUGUGACCCGCAGCUGAGCCUGGAGGGACUAAACAUAGGAGCCAUGCCCUUCCUGCAUGUGUGACACAGGGGCCACUUGCAGAAGGUCCUGCAGUGUUAAGACUGUAGACUCCGGGGCAGGGCAAGUAUGUAGCUUAGUUGGUAGCAUGCUUGCCUAGCUUAGACAAAGCCCUGGGUUUGAUGCCCAGCCCCAAAUAAAACUGGGCAUGGUGGCACAUGCCUGUUAUCCCAACACUUGAGAGGUGGUAACAUCAGGAUCAGGGGUUGAAGUCAUCUUCGGUCACAUAGUGAGUUUGAAGGCAACCUGGGUUCCAGGAGAUCCCGUGUUUUUAAAACAACAAACGAUUGUCUAUGGGCCUCGCCUGUGUAUUUAUUUGAUUCUGGUGCCUCCCAGAGGUUCAGAUGCAUAAAGGAAGAGGGAAGUAGCUUGAACUACUGACAAAGCCCCUCCCUGCUAGGGACAUACUGAGGUUGGUUAGACUUGACCUGUGUUGUCCCCAGCAGCACUGAGGGGCCACACCUUUUGAGCAUGACAAUUUAAGGGAAUGUCCUAGGAUUGAGAAACUAGACAUUCAGAUGGAAAAGAGCCCAGAGCCAACAUUGCUUGAGGAUCAGAGGUAUCAGCCAGCAGCAGGGAACUCCCUAGUCAAGGGCCAUUCUGCCCCGAUUUGGCACAAAGUCUACAUGUUUUCCUAGUGUCUUUGAAUUACAGUAGCAGCCUAGAACAAAGUAGAUGCUUGGAGAAACUGUCCCAGAGAGAGAGAGAGAGAGAGAGGAGCUUGCUCACAGUGAGAACAAGGACUAUCAGGUGGCCCUCAGUCACUGAAGCAGCCAAGGCCCUCUAAGCCAAAACAUCCCAUUGAAAACAACAGCCCAAGGAGUGCCAAGCUUCCAAUAGAGCAGUAAAACCCAAGGAAGGGGUUUUGCAAGCUCAGGAUGGUCUCCCGUGUCUUGGAGCCAAAGCUUUCUCAGGUAUGGGACAAGCUAUUUGUACAAGGGUCAUUUGAGCCAUGGAGGCUGAUGGGUACUUGGAGGAAUAAUUCCCAGAUCACGUCAACCUCAAGGGGGGUAGCCUGAGAUAAGGACAGAACCACAGGCUAGACACGGGCAGAAGCACUAGCCUUUUCAUCUUUCCCCUUGUCCUGCAAGCUCUGGAGAUGGGAGGAACAGGAAGUGACACCCAGCCUUGUGGUUUCACUUGAUGAGCACAGGCAGAGCCAGUCUCACUUGCACCUCUGGAGACCACAGGGUCUAGACACAUCAAGGAUAGCUUCUUCUAGGCCACUGCACUCAUCACUUUCUGCUGGGGCCUAUUCACAGCUGGCUCCAACCUUCAUUAAGAUCAAAGACAAGGUACAGGCCUUUGGGAGCUACUUUCUUGUGUUAUGUCCCCCAUGCUGCAAUCCAUAAGUUCUGGUCAAAACUUGCACAUAGCUAGGCAGUGGUGGUGCACACCUUUAACCCCAGCACUCUGGAGGAAGAUACAGUCAGAUCUCUGAGUUCAAGGCCAACCCGGUCUACAGAGCAAGUUCCAGGACAGCCAGGGCUACACAGAGAAACCCUAUCUCAAAAAACCAAACACUUGCUGGGCAGUGGUGGCAAAAAUGCCUUUAGUCCCAGCACUCAGGAGUCAGAGGCAGGUGGAUCUCCUUGAGUUCAAGACCAGCCUGGUCUACAAGAGCUCAUUCCAGGAUAGCCUCCAAAGCCACAGAAAAACCCCCCCAAAAAAGUAAACACUUGUAUGUAAACCCUUACCAUGGUCUUGUACAUGCUAGGCAGUCUAAAGGGACUGGCCUAGGCCCUAUAGACACUGAAAAUGGGCAGAGGGACACAUCCAGUAUUGCAGUCAUGUGGACAGGACUGUCCCAGAGCAGCACAAACACAUUCAGCUAAGUAGAGUCAUGGGAGUCUUUUUGCUUUGCUUCAAGGCAGGAUCUCACUUGUCUCUUUAGUUGGCUUUGACCUGGUCAGCUUUCUGAGUGCCAAGGAUUGUAGGUUCACAGAUAUGCCCUGCUCAGUGGAAUUUGUUGCAUUUUCCUGUCAGCCUAGGCAGAUACACCAUCUGGAGAGACUGGUGAUGGGUAGGGACAAGCUUAUGACAGCCUGUGGUGAAAGUGUCCUGCUCAGAGCUCUGCAGUUGUCUCAACAGAGCUAGGCUAUGGGGGCCAUUACAGCCUCAGUGCUGUUACCUAUGAAGGACACUAAGACAGGUUCCCAUGGGCUUUGGGGGCAUUGAGGUUCCUUAUCUGUGCAAGUUACCAGGGUCCAACUAGCUACUUUUCCUCACACAUAGACCAUGGCCUGUGAGGAUAAGAGCGCCUGAAUGGUUCAGGGGGGCUUGCUUAUCCUCAGCCUGUAGCCCUUCCUUGGGUUGAGGGUCAAGGUGAGACUGUCCCCAAGCUCUAACUCACUCUGUGGGCAGAGCCUCCUAAAUGUUCAGGAGAGUCAGUGUCCUCUAGGAAGAAGGCAUCAUGGCCCUGCCAACACAGCUACCAUCUGUACCCCUUGGUCCCUGCAGUGAGUCAUUGUUACAUGGAAAGUUCCAAGACAGGUCCAUGGGUCACUUCCUAACCUUGACUUCUCUGAGCGAAGCACAGAGGUUAGCAGCAUAUGUCAUUUUCAGGAAAAUCUUGAGUAUCAUUUCCUACAAUGAAAUGGAGGCAUCUGUGCCCUCACAGAGUGGCUAAGGGGACCUGUAGCUAAGUCACAUGAGCAUGGUGUGUGUAGCAUGAGACAGAAACUUAACCAUCUUGGCACUAGAGAAGGACAGCCAGUACAGGGAAUGAGGCAUCCCCUCCCUCCUCAUGUAACAGGACACUGACUCAAGGUGACUGACUAUGCCAGACUGGUAGCCAAAUAAAAAUGGUAAGGUCAGUACCACUGACCUGGGUCCCCUGAGAACUUCUACAGUGGAGCCUUAAGUUCUCUUCUUCCCCACUUUUCCAUUUUGUCUUUGGCCAAAGAGUUUUAGGAGCAGAGGUCCCAGCCCUGGGUGGUCCUUCUAUACCACCUUUUUGAAUGACUGAUUGACCAGGUGUGUGUGUGUGUGUGUGUGUGUGUGUGUGUGUUGGUCUGAGAUGUUGUGGUGUUCCUGUAUCAAGAGAGAUGUGUAGGGGUGCCUGUGUGCUGUAACACCUGUGUGCAUGUAUGUGCGUGUUUUCUGAGAUGCACUGGUGUGCCUGUGUGCUGUAACACCUGUGUGCAUGUAAGUGCGUGUGUUCUGAGAUGCACUGGUGUGCCUGUGUGCUGUAACACCUGUGUGCAUGUAAGUGCGUGUGUUCUGAGAUGCACUGGUGUGCCUGUGUGCUGUAACACCUGUGUGCAUGUAAGUGCGCGUGUUCUGAGAUGCACUGGUGUGCCUGUGUGCUGUAACACGUGUGUAUGUAAGUGCGUGUUUUCUGAGAUGCACUGGUGUGCCUGUGUGCUGUACACCUGUGUGUAUGUAAGUGCGUGUGUUCUGAGAUGCACUGGUGUGCCUGUGUGCUGUAACACCUGUGUGCAUGUAUGUGCGUGUGUUCUGAGAUGUACUGGUGUGCCUGUGUGCUGUAACACCUGGAGGCAGAGGAAGGAAAGGCCCAUUGUGUCCCUUUCUGUUACUAGGAGCAUCCAGGCAGGUUACAAUCCAGGUCAUGUCAAAGGUCCAGCCCAAGCCUUAGAGUGAGGCCUGAAGGUGUGCUCUUCUUAUGUUCAUCAGGGUCACAUAAUGUCACUGAUAGCAACUGACCUUGGGUCUUACCUGUCACUUUACUGUUCCUGGCCCCCAGCAUACUCCUUGGCACACAGUAAGCACUGAAUAAAUGUAUGCUGAAAAUGAUGAAGAACUCCUCUGUGGCUCCCACGUCUCUUUCUGCUGGGAUCACACCACCCUUGCUCAUGCUGCAGCCUGUGUAGGAGGGACUAUGAAGUCCAGGAGCAGGAGAGGGGACGGGGCCACUCAGGAAAGGACUCAGGGAGGAGAUGCUAGGAGGUGAGGCCUGCAAACUUGGACGGUGGGCUGUGCCCCCUCUGCUUUCGUUGUCACCAUCCCACACCCACACCCAGCUCUGGAUGGAGGCAGCACAGACAUCUCUUUCUCCAGGAUAAGCAGAGCCACAGUGUGAGCUCUGUGGCCAGGCAGGAGCAGCUUGACUUUGACCUUGACCUCAAGGACGAACCAGGAUGUGGAAACUUCAGCCCCCACUUGAGGAGACAGCAGUUCCUGUCAGGGCUGCAGAGAUGGCUCAGAGGUUAAGAGCACCGGCUGCUCUUCCAGAGGUCCUGAGUUCAAUUCCCAGCAACCACGUGGUGGCUCCCAACCAUCUGUAAUGAGAUCUAGUGCCCUCUUCUGGUGUGCAGAUGUACAUGGAAGCAGAAUGUUGUAUACAUAAUAAAUAAAUUAAAAAAAAUUAUUUUAUGUGCAUUGGUGUUUUGCCUGCAUUUGUCUGUGUGAGGGUGUCAGGUCCCAUAUAACUGGAGCUACAGACAGUUGUGACCCA